RNAcentral lists this long non-coding RNA (330 nucleotides) under Homo sapiens (human). Its description in RNAcentral is "HSALNT0301454". Lineage: Eukaryota; Metazoa; Chordata; Mammalia; Primates; Hominidae. The record is from RNAcentral.
UGGGUUGCAUCUGUUGUUUCCUGGAUCCAAUGUUUUCCUCUUUCUUUAUUUCCAACACUAUUUUGUUGACAAACAUCCUGAAAUAACUUUAAAAGACGGAUUGGAAGAGUAUGAGGACCAUGGCUUAUUCUUAUUCACCAUUAUGUCCUUACAGUGCCUGGAGUAGGGAUGGCACAGAAGAACUAUUCAGCACAUGAAGCAGUGAAUGAAAAGACAAAAGGGCAAGAAAAGGAGAGAACAGUGGAGAAAAAAGAUUUUAAUUAAAUACAUGUGGGAAUUUAUCUCUGGCUAUUAUUUAUUCCACCAAGUACACGGAUGUAUGAAUUCAUU